UACGAAGGGGGCUAGCGUUGCUCGGAAUCACGGGGGGUAAAGGGUGCGUAGGCGGGUCUUUAAGUCAGGGGUGAAAUCCUGGAGCUCAACUCCAGAACUGCCUUUGAUACUGAGGAUCUUGAGUUCGGGAGAGGUGAGUGGAACUGCGAGUGUAGAGGUGAAAUUCGUAGAUAUUCGCAAGAACACCAGUGGCGAAGGCGGCUCACUGGCCCGAUACUGACGCUGAGGCGCGAAAGCGUGGGGAGCAAACAGG
RNAcentral lists this ribosomal RNA (253 nucleotides) under uncultured bacterium. RNAcentral describes it as "partial 16S ribosomal RNA". It matches the Rfam family "Bacterial small subunit ribosomal RNA", at positions 524 to 776 of the family's 1533-position model. The record is from RNAcentral.